Molecule: ribosomal RNA, 746 nt
Filed under: fungal sp.
Lineage: Eukaryota; Fungi
Description: eukaryotic LSU rRNA
Rfam family: 5.8S ribosomal RNA (bases 251-404)
Source: RNAcentral
UGCGGAAGGAUCAUUACUAGAGCAAAGGAUAGACAGCGCCCGCGGAGCUCGCUCCCGGGGCUACCCUACUCCCGUAGGGUUUAGAGUCGUCGGGCCUCUCGGAGAAGCUCGGUCCUGAACUCCACCCUUGAAUAAACUACCUUUGUUGCUUUGGCGGGCCGCCUCGUGCCAGCGGCUUCGGCUGUUGAGUGCCCGCCAGAGGACCCCAACUCUUGUUUUUAGUGAUGUCUGAGUACUAUAUAAUAGUUAAAACUUUCAACAACGGAUCUCUUGGUUCUGGCAUCGAUGAAGAACGCAGCGAAAUGCGAUAAGUAAUGUGAAUUGCAGAAUUCAGUGAAUCAUCGAAUCUUUGAACGCACAUUGCGCCCUCUGGUAUUCCGGGGGGCAUGCCUGUUCGAGCGUCAUUAUAACCACUCAAGCUCUCGCUUGGUAUUGGGGUUCGCGGUUUCGCGGCCCCUAAAAUCAGUGGCGGUGCCUGUCGGCUCUACGCGUAGUAAUACUCCUCGCGAUUGAGUCCGGUAGGUCUACUUGCCAGCAACCCCUAAUUUUUUUUAAGGUUGACCUCGGAUCAGGUAGGGAUACCCGCUGAACUUAAGCAUAUCAAUAAGCGGAGGAAAAGAAACCAACAGGGAUUACCUCAGUAACGGCGAGUGAAGCGGUAACAGCUCAAAUUUGAAAGCUGGCUCUUUUAGGGUCCGCGUUGUAAUUUGUAGAAGAUGCUUCGGGUGUGGCCCCGGUCUAAGUUC